This 83-nucleotide non-coding RNA is filed under the name bovine gut metagenome. RNAcentral's name for it is "Cyclic di-GMP-I riboswitch". It matches the Rfam family "c-di-GMP-I riboswitch aptamer". From Rfam's summary of the family: GEMM was predicted in a large-scale screen for bacterial structured RNA regulatory elements. Genes associated with GEMM are involved in a diverse array of functions, including chemotaxis regulation, signal transduction, secretion and chitin. The record is from RNAcentral.
UCGAUAAAGGCAAAGCAGUCGAAAGACUGUGACGCAAAGCUACAGGGCCUUAACGCGAAAGCGCAUGGCAGCCAGUUGCCGAA